Molecule: ribosomal RNA, 497 nt
Filed under: uncultured bacterium
Lineage: Bacteria
Description: partial 16S ribosomal RNA
Rfam family: Bacterial small subunit ribosomal RNA
Source: RNAcentral
GAUGAACGCUGGCGGCGUGCCUAAUACAUGCAAGUCGAGCGAACAGACGAGGAGCUUGCUCCUCUGACGUUAGCGGCGGACGGGUGAGUAACACGUGGAUAACCUACCUAUAAGACUGGGAUAACUUCGGGAAACCGGAGCUAAUACCGGAUAAUAUAUUGAACCGCAUGGUUCAAUAUUGAAAGACGGAUUUGCUGUCACUUAUAGAUGUAUCCGCGCCGCAUUAGCUAGUUGGUAAGGUAACGGCUUACCAAGGCAACGAUGCGUAGCCGACCUGAGAGGGUGAUCGGCAACACUGGAACUGAGACACGGUCCAGACUCCUACGGGAGGCAGCAGUAGGGAAUCUUCCGCAAUGGGCGAAGGCCUGACGGAGCAACGCCGCGUGAGUGAUGAAGGUCUUCGGAUCGUAAAACUCUGUUAUUAGGGAAGAACAAAUGUGUAAGCAACUAUGCACGUCUUGACGGUACCUAAUCAGAAAGCCACGGCUAACUACGUG